Molecule: long non-coding RNA, 211 nt
Organism: Trematomus bernacchii (emerald rockcod)
Lineage: Eukaryota; Metazoa; Chordata; Actinopteri; Perciformes; Nototheniidae
Exons: 3
Source: RefSeq, a predicted model, not a curated record
UAGAUUUGUAUCACUUGCCAGCUGAAAGCGACCUCUGAAAUGCGGAAGAGCAGCCCCGUCAACAAGGCCUGCAAUUAUAUAAAUUCAAGAUGGAUAAAUGUCGAUGGCAGUGAUGAUGUGUGUCGAUGUUGCGACGAUACAUGCUCCAGCAACUCUCCCACCGGUCAAACAAACCUCGGAAGUCUGAUCCCUGAAGAUUUGGUGGCAUGUG